CAGCAGCCGCGGUAAGACAGAGGAUGCAAGCGUUAUCCGGAAUGAUUGGGCGUAAAGGGCUCGCAGGCGGUUUCUUAAGUCUGAUGUGAAAGCCCCCGGCUCAACCGGGGAGGGUCAUUGGAAACUGGGAAACUUGAGUGCAGAAGAGGAGAGUGGAAUUCCACGUGUAGCGGUGAAAUGCGUUGAGAUCGGAAAGAACACCAACGGCGAUAGCACUCUGCUGGGCCGACACUGACACUGAGAGACGAAAGCUAGGGGAGCAAAUGGGGUUAGAUACCCCAGUAGUCCCUGUCUCUUAUAA
Molecule: ribosomal RNA, 301 nt
Filed under: uncultured bacterium
Lineage: Bacteria
Description: partial 16S ribosomal RNA
Rfam family: Bacterial small subunit ribosomal RNA
Source: RNAcentral